RNAcentral lists this ribosomal RNA (292 nucleotides) under uncultured bacterium. Its description in RNAcentral is "partial 16S ribosomal RNA". It matches the Rfam family "Bacterial small subunit ribosomal RNA", at positions 505 to 796 of the family's 1533-position model. The record is from RNAcentral.
GUGUCAGCAGCCGCGGUAAGACGUAGGAUGCAAGCGUUGUCCGGAAUUAUUGGGCGUAAAGAGUUCGUAGGCGGUUACUUAAGUCUGAUGUUAAAUACCAGAGCUCAACUCUGGCAUGGCAUUGGAAACUGGGUAGCUAGAGUGUGGUAGAGGUCACGGGAAUUCCUGGUGUAGCGGUGAAAUGCGUAGAUAUCAGGAGGAACACCGGUGGCGAAAGCGCGUGACUGGGCCAUAACUGACGCUGAGGAACGAAAGCCAGGGUAGCGAAAGGGAUUAGAUACCCCUGUAGUCC